GGGCGUUUGGCACAGUGGUAGCGCGCACGCUUUGCACUUGUCAACUUGCGUGAGGACCAGGGUUCAAUCCCCUGAACGUCCA
Molecule: transfer RNA, 82 nt
Organism: Daedalea quercina L-15889
Lineage: Eukaryota; Fungi; Basidiomycota; Agaricomycetes; Polyporales; Fomitopsidaceae
Rfam family: tRNA
About the family: Transfer RNA (tRNA) molecules are approximately 80 nucleotides in length. Their secondary structure includes four short double-helical elements and three loops (D, anti-codon, and T loops).
Source: Rfam